Hevea brasiliensis (rubber tree) is the source of this 2768-nucleotide RNA transcript. RefSeq lists it as uncharacterized. The record is from RefSeq and is a predicted model, not a curated record. The transcript has 6 exons. NCBI's taxonomy places the organism in Eukaryota, Viridiplantae, Streptophyta, Magnoliopsida, Malpighiales, Euphorbiaceae.
CUCCAUUAAAGUAAAUACAUUAAAGCAUAGGGACUCCAUUACAAAAAAAAAAAAGAUCAAUAAAGAACAAGAACAACAAUCGGAGUCUACAGUGUUAUCGUCCAAGUCGGCGUCUCUCUCCUUCCACUUCAAUGGCAGCAGAACCCGACCCGGUAUUGGAAAACCCUACCAGUGGCGAGGAUGACCUUGACGAAGAAGACGAGGAAGAAGAGGAAAUCCAACCCGAACUACCAAAUACGGGAAGCCGAGAGUCUCGAGCACGAAUAGAGCGAGCAAAGCUUGAGAGCCUCUUUCGUCGGAUACAGACUGAAAUGUUACCUCUUCGUGUCCACGAUGUGAUCAUCAAGGGGAACUCCAAGACGAAGGACUCCUUGAUCGAAGCCGAAACGGCGCUGCUUAAAGACGUUUCUUCGAUGCAAGAGUUGAUGGCGGCUUCGAAAGAUGUGAAUUUCAGGUUGCAGGCGCUUGAGGUUUUUGAUUCGGUUAGGAUCACGCUCGAUUCGGGCCCGCCGGAGCUACCUGGGACGGCUAAUGUCAUCGUUGAGGUUGUGGAGACUAAGUGUCCAUUGUCUGGAGAAGUCGGCGCAUACACGAAAGGCGAGGCUAGAUCUUCAACAGUUGAAGGAUCGGUCAAGUACAAAAACAUAUUUGGUUAUGGGGAUCUUUGGGAUGCCUCUUUGGCAUAUGGUGGUGACCACAUGGCUGAGGUAAGUUCUGGUGUGUAUUUGCCAAGAUUCAAAAGACUUGCUCCUGUGACGGCAAGAGUAUUCCUGCUAUCUCAAGAUUGGCUGAAAUUUUCUUCUUUCAAAGAACGAACAUUGGGCCUCUCUGUUGGCUUAGUUUCAAGCAGGAACCAUGAUUUGGUGUACAAUCUCUCAUGGCGCACUUUGACAGAUCCAUCACAAAUGGCAUCCAGGUCAAUAAGGAGGCAGCUUGGUCAUGGUUUGCUUUCAUCCUUGAAAUACACAUUUAAGAUUGACCGGAGAAAUUCACCUUUGAGGCCAACACAUGGAUAUGCUUUUGUUUCUACCACUCAAAUUGGUGGUCUUGCACCUGAUAGUCGGAGUAUACGGUUUUUGCGCCAGGAGCUUGAUCUUCGUUAUGCGGUCCCUCUUGGAUUUUUGCAUUCUGCACUCAACCUUGGGAUCUCUGGUGGUCUUAUUUUUCCAUGGGGAACUGGAUUCUUAAACAUGCCUUCUCCCUUACCAGAGAGGUUCUUCUUGGGUGGUAAUUUAUCUCCAAUUUGCACUUUGGGAGGUCCGAUAGCAUUAUAUGGGUUUAGGACAAGGGGACUGGGCCCUACUGAUCUUCGAAGGCAAUUGCAAAGUAAUCCAACUGAUGAUAGUGCUGACCCUGGGAGAGAUUACAUUGGAGGAGACCUUGCUGUGACUGCUUUUGCGGAUGUUUCUUUUGAUUUUCCAUCCAAGUGGUGUCAAUCGAAAGGAAUCCAUGGACACAUGUUUGCAUCUACUGGAAAUAUUGACAAAUUAACAGAAAACGCAUACCAAAAUUUAUCCUUGCGAAAGUUUGUGGAAUCAUUUCGAACUUCCGCGGGAGUUGGGAUUGUUGUUCCUACAAAUCUGUUCCGUCUAGAGUUAAACUACUGCUACAUGUUGAAGAAAUUUGAUUAUGACCAUGGGAAGUCAGGGUUCCGGGUCAGCUUCUCUACGCCAACAUAGAAUCUGGAAUCUAUUGGAUAUGUAAUGUCUGACAGAUUUCAUUUGACAAAGGAAAGCUUUCAAAUCAGAUACAGGUAGAGGGCUUGUUCUCUUUGCUUGAAGCCAGACACUUUUUCUUUCAUUGGCACUGCGUGUACUAACAUUAUGUCAUUACCGAGGUUCAUUCUGCUUUGGGAGGCUUUUCAGCGUAUCAGGAAAUCUUUAUUUCAUAUGAAAGAUACUUCUUGUGAUCAGAGGGGCUAAAAGGCUCAAGCGGCAAAAGACGCUGUCAUAGCAUAUCAGAAUAUAGGGUAUGAUAACCUUUGAUUGGGAGUAGGCAUAACAUACAAUCCAUUGUCACAGAGCUGUAUGAUUCUUAGCAAAAUAAUGCUGUUAAUUCUUAUUGGAUUGAUCGUUUAUUGGUUAGAGUAUAUAGACUUCGUAGGGGGGCGGGUGGGUGAAUGCCAUUGAUAAUGAUGAUGAGUGCAAUGGUGGCUUGAAAGUAGCAUAAUCAUAUAAUAUUCGAUUUGGCUUCUUAUUUGAACUUCCUUGCCUCUUUCUACAAGUUAGACUGAGAAAGUUAUGCGCAGCCCAUUGCGACUUCUGUGGAUUUGGAAAUGGUAAUAUGAGGAAAUGCCAAAUAACUUAGUUCUUUAGUAGUUUUGGGUACUCAGAAUGAAAAGUGACUCCUAAGGUGUUUCUAAUAUUUAAUGCUGUUGAGGUAAUUAUAUGUACUAAUGGUUAGGUUGCCAUGCCGAGGUCAAAGUGAUCUCUCUCUCUCUCUCUCUCUCUCUCUCUAUUAUUUGUUUUUUCCAGUCAAUCGGCGUCAGAGCAGGAAGAUGGGAUGUUGAAGAACGAGCAGCAGCAUUUACGCCGUCAAUUAAAAGUUACUAAGAGGGAGCCAGCUCUCUAUACUCUACUAGUCAAGAAAAAAGACUUAAUUUGAAGGGAAUUGAUUGAUCCUCACUGGAUUGUUUAGUGAAAGUUCUUGUUUUUAUUCGAACUUUUGCUCAAUUGCGUAUUCACAACUUGAGUCUAACAAAAACGAUGACUUAAUUUUCAGUUGGAAUGGGGAAAAAGCUUGCUCAAUUGAUUCACUUUUUCGAGGCA